RNAcentral lists this ribosomal RNA (405 nucleotides) under uncultured Gammaproteobacteria bacterium. Its description in RNAcentral is "bacterial SSU rRNA". It matches the Rfam family "Bacterial small subunit ribosomal RNA", at positions 9 to 418 of the family's 1533-position model. Lineage: Bacteria; Pseudomonadati; Pseudomonadota; Gammaproteobacteria. The record is from RNAcentral.
GAGUUUGAUCAUGGCUCAGAUUGAACGCUGGCGGCAGGCCUAACACAUGCAAGUCGAGCGGCAGCGCGGGGCAACCUGGCGGCGAGCGGCGGACGGGUGAGUAACGCGUAGGAAUCUACCCAGUAGCGGGGGAUAGCCCGGGGAAACUCGGAUUAAUACCGCAUACGCCCUAAGGGGGAAAGCAGGGGAUCUUCGGACCUUGCACUAUUGGCAGAGCCUGCGUUGGAUUAGCUAGUUGGUAGGGUAAAGGCCUACCAAGGCGACGAUCCAUAACUGGUCUGAGAGGAUGAUCAGUCACACCGGAACUGAGACACGGUCCGGACUCCUACGGGAGGCAGCAGUGGGGAAUAUUGGACAAUGGGGGCAACCCUGAUCCAGCCAUGCCGCGUGUGUGAAGAAGGCCUU